GGAUGGAUUCCCGAGUGGCCAAAGGGGGCAGACUGUAAAUCUGUUGCGACACGCUUCGGUGGUUCGAAUCCACCUCCAUCCA
The sequence is a transfer RNA, 82 nucleotides long. It matches the Rfam family "tRNA". Rfam says of the family: Transfer RNA (tRNA) molecules are approximately 80 nucleotides in length. The record is from Rfam.